This 290-nucleotide ribosomal RNA is filed under the name uncultured bacterium. Its description in RNAcentral is "partial 16S ribosomal RNA". It matches the Rfam family "Bacterial small subunit ribosomal RNA", at positions 775 to 1067 of the family's 1533-position model. The record is from RNAcentral.
GGAUUAGAUACCCUGGUAGUCCACGCCGUAAACGAUGUCUACUAGUUGUUGGAAGACUUGAUCUCUUAGUAACGAAGCUAACGCGAUAAGUAGACCGCCUGGGGAGUACGGCCGCAAGGUUAAAACUCAAAUGAAUUGGCGGGGGCCCGCACAAGCGGUGGAGCAUGUGGUUUAAUUCGAUGAUACGCGAGGAACCUUACCUGGGCUCGAACCCUGCUGGACGGUAUCAGAGAUGAUACUUUCUUCGGACUGGCAGGGAGGUGCUGCAUGGCUGUCGUCAGCUCGUGCCG